RNAcentral lists this unclassified non-coding RNA (1857 nucleotides) under Hevea brasiliensis (rubber tree). The record is from RNAcentral. Lineage: Eukaryota; Viridiplantae; Streptophyta; Magnoliopsida; Malpighiales; Euphorbiaceae.
CAAAACUCUCGGUCAGUCGUACCCUUCGCUUUGUUUUGCUUUGUAAUUCUCUCUUGGCAUAGAUUCUCUGUUUUGUUCAACUCUGUUUCUCAUAGAGGCAUCGCCGUUUCGCUCUGUUCCUCUAAGGUAGCUUUUGUUCUUUGGAUCUGCUAUAUUAUUUUUAAUUUUAUUUUUUGUUCUUCAGCUCGUCUCAUUUGUUUGGUUUCUUGGAAAAUUGAGUUAGUGGACUCGGAUGAACUUUCCUGGUAGCUGGAGCUCUGUUUUUCUCUCCUUUUUAUUUUCUUUUCCUUUUUAUUAGGCUUUGAAUUAUUUUUUCUGGUGACUUUGAAUUAGAGAGUAUUACAACUUCGCUGUUAAUUUUAGUUUAUUUUCAUCAUAUUCAAACAGGCGUUGAAUUUUAUUUUUAGAUAUGAUAUCAUAUGAAUUUUGUUGUUCAGUGCUGUUGAUGAUUAAUUUUCUUUGCUUUUUAGAGUUUAGCCAAUCGAGUUUCGGAUUGAAGCUUUUGUUAUAUUACUUCUGAUUUGUAAGGACUUUCCUUCCCCCGAAGGUAGCAAAAAUGAAGACUGCCAAGGGUAAAGGAGCAGCGAAGGCCUCAAAGGAAGCUUUGAAGCCUGCUGAUGACAGCGAUUAGCGGAUUGUUAUUGUGAUGGAUCUAUCUCUAUCCUUUUCAGAAAGGUUGGAAAGAGGAAAGCUGUAGCUGUUGCUGAUAAGAGUAUCAAACAAAAAGCUAAGAAGGAGAAAAAGGCGAAGAAAGACCCAAACAAACCAAAGAGGCCUCCUAGUGCUUUCUUUGUCUUCCUUGAGGAGUUUCGAAAGACUUUCAAGAAAGAGAAUCCUAAUGUGACAUCUGUAGCUGCUGUUGGGAAAGCUGGAGGAGAGAAGUGGAAAUCAAUGUCUCCUGCUGAAAAAGCUCCGUAUGAAGCCAAAGCUGCCAAAAAAAAGGAUGAGUAUGGAAAGCUUAUGAAUGCCUACAACAAGAAGCAGGAGAGCACAGCUGAUGACGCUAAUGCAGAGUCAGACAGGUCAAAGUCUGAAGUGAAUGAUGAAGAUGACGAGGCUACUGGAGAGGUUGGCCCACCAAUCUGUUUAUUUGUUUAAUUCUUUUAACAAUGCAUCUCAUUUGCAUGAUUUUUCACAAUGCCCAAGUCGCAUAAUUUUGAUUUACAUACUGUUUUAGAAAGUAUUCUCACUGUUGAACUUUUGCUUGCUUGGAGCUUUCGAGCUCACAAUCAGUAUUGUUAGGAUCUGGCUGAGGUUUGCAUCAAUCGUUCAUCUUCAGUAAUUCAUUUACCAAAUUAAGAAAUGUUAAAUUGGUGUUUCUUCUUGCUUUGUGUGCUUUGUGACAUGGAGCAGAAAAUAAGGAAAAUGUAAGUUGAAAAUUUCUGAGUCGAGUGUGUCAAGUUGGGUAGGACAUCAUCACACAGUCUUGUUAACUAAAUUUUGCAAUCAGUAAUAUCAACAAGUAAAAUUCCUCCAUUUUUUCAUAGCAGGUUAAAGGUGUCAAUAGAUUGGGGAGAAUUUCAUGGCUACAACUCUUAUUUUUUCACUUCAAAAGAGGAAAAGAAAGAAGGAUAUUGCAUUAUUGACAACUUGUUUUGCCCUUCAUUCAACAAUUUGUCUUCUUUUUUGUGUGUAAUUCUGAUGUCAGCAGUCCGCACUAAUUUUAUUGCUUGUUUCUUGUCAGGAAGGGGAAGAGGAAGAGGAAGAGGAAGAAGAUGAUGAUGAUGAUUGAAAUUGGAUGGUUUUGAUUUUGGGCAUCAUGUGAUUUAAAGGAUAGAUUUUUGGAUCUUGUAGAUGCAUAUUGAUAGGUUGUAUUUGGUAUUGUUGAAUUUUAAGCAGGGAAGGAACUUUUCUUUU